Molecule: ribosomal RNA, 497 nt
Filed under: uncultured bacterium
Lineage: Bacteria
Description: partial 16S ribosomal RNA
Rfam family: Bacterial small subunit ribosomal RNA
Source: RNAcentral
GAUGAACGCUGGCGGCGUGCCUAAUACAUGCAAGUCGAGCGAACAGAUGAGGAGCUUGCUCCUCUGACGUUAGCGGCGGACGGGUGAGUAACACGUGGAUAACCUACCUAUAAGACUGGGAUAACUUCGGGAAACCGGAGCUAAUACCGGAUAAUAUAUUGAACCGCAUGGUUCAAUAGUGAAAGACGGUUUUGCUGUCACUUAUAGAUGGAUCCGCGCCGCAUUAGCUAGUUGGUAAGGUAACGGCUUACCAAGGCAACGAUGCGUAGCCGACGUGAGAGGGUGAUAGGCCGCACGGGAAGGGGGACAGCGACCAGGCUCCUGAGGUAGGCAGCAGUAGGGAACGGGCCGCAGUAGGGGAGAGCCUUGCGGAACAGCGGCGCGUGAGAGGUAGAGGUGUUGGGAGCGGAAUGCUCGGUUAUGAGGGAAGAACAAAUGUGGAAGUAACUAUGCACGGCUUGACGGUACUUAGUCAGGAAGCCACGGCUAACUACGUG